UUAUUUGAUUUCUUCGGAAUGAAGAUUUUGUGACUGAGUGGCGGACGGGUGAGUAACGCGUGGGUAACCUGCCUCAUACAGGGGGAUAACAGUUGGAAACGACUGCUAAUACCGCAUAAGCGCACAGGGUCGCAUGACCUGGUGUGAAAAACUCCGGUGGUAUGAGAUGGACCCGCGUCUGAUUAGCCAGUUGGUGGGGUAACGGCCUACCAAAGCGACGAUCAGUAGCCGACCUGAGAGGGUGACCGGCCACAUUGGGACUGAGACACGGCCCAAACUCCUACGGGAGGCAGCAGUGGGGAAUAUUGCACAAUGGGGGAAACCCUGAUGCAGCGACGCCGCGUGAGCGAAGAAGUAUUUCGGUAUGUAAAGCUCUAUCAGCAGGGAAGAAGAAAUGACGGUACCUGACUAAGAAGCACCGGCUAAAUACGUGCCAGCAGCCGCGGUAAUACGUAUGGUGCAAGCGUUAUCCGGAUUUACUGGGUGUAAAGGGAGCGCAGGCGGUACGGCAAGUCUGAUGUGAAAGCCCGGGGCUCAACCCCGGUACUGCAUUGGAAACUGUCGGACUAGAGUGUCGGAGGGGUAAGUGGAAUUCCUAGUGUAGCGGUGAAAUGCGUAGAUAUUAGGAGGAACACCAGUGGCGAAGGCGGCUUACUGGACGGUAACUGACGCUGAGGCUCGA
This 682-nucleotide ribosomal RNA is filed under the name uncultured Lachnospiraceae bacterium. RNAcentral's name for it is "bacterial SSU rRNA". It matches the Rfam family "Bacterial small subunit ribosomal RNA", at positions 64 to 756 of the family's 1533-position model. Lineage: Bacteria; Bacillati; Bacillota; Clostridia; Lachnospirales; Lachnospiraceae. The record is from RNAcentral.